UUAUUCCAGGUUGACCUCGGAUCAGGUAGGGAUACCCGCUGAACUUAAGCAUAUCAAUAA
This 60-nucleotide ribosomal RNA is filed under the name Fodinomyces uranophilus. RNAcentral describes it as "partial 26S ribosomal RNA". The record is from RNAcentral. Lineage: Eukaryota; Fungi; Ascomycota; Dothideomycetes; Mycosphaerellales; Teratosphaeriaceae.